This 487-nucleotide ribosomal RNA is filed under the name uncultured soil bacterium. RNAcentral describes it as "bacterial SSU rRNA". It matches the Rfam family "Bacterial small subunit ribosomal RNA", at positions 26 to 511 of the family's 1533-position model. The record is from RNAcentral.
AGAUUGAACGCUGGCGGCAUGCCUUACACAUGCAAGUCGAACGGCAGCACGGGAGCAAUCCUGGUGGCGAGUGGCGAACGGGUGAGUAAUACAUCGGAACGUGCCCAAUCGUGGGGGAUAACGCAGCGAAAGCUGUGCUAAUACCGCAUAAGAUCUACGGAUGAAAGCAGGGGAUCGCAAGACCUUGCGCGAAUGGAGCGGCCGAUGGCAGAUUAGGUAGUUGGUGAGGUAAAGGCUCACCAAGCCUUCGAUCUGUAGCUGGUCUGAGAGGACGACCAGCCACACUGGGACUGAGACACGGCCCAGACUCCUACGGGAGGCAGCAGUGGGGAAUUUUGGACAAUGGCGAAAGCCUGAUCCAGCCAUGCCGCGUGCAGGAUGAAGGCCUUCGGUUGUAAACUGUCUUUUGUACGGAACGAAAGUCUCUUUACUAAUAAGAGGAUCAUGACGGUACCGUAAGAAUAAGCACGGCUAACUACGUAGACCG